Molecule: long non-coding RNA, 403 nt
Filed under: Brachypodium distachyon (stiff brome)
Lineage: Eukaryota; Viridiplantae; Streptophyta; Magnoliopsida; Poales; Poaceae
Description: long non-coding RNA (BDIS_LNC003524)
Source: RNAcentral
GUCUACCACAUGGAUUUGUAGAGUGAGAGGCAAUUUCAGAGAAAUGAUGACUUAUCGAGAGGAAUUGGGGUUAGUUAUAGCGCAAUUACAUGGAAUUUGAAAUUGAAUUUCUAUGGCUAAUUCCGUGCCAACCAAACAAGUUCUUUUCUGAAAUUUAAAAUGAAUUCUAAAAUUCUAGACCCAAAUGAUGGGUGUCAAAGGAGUUGUAUGGAAAUCGAUGGGGAGCCAAUUGUUAGAAAAAACACCAUAGUUGUAUUUGUGAAUCACAUGUUGGUGCAAUAAAUAAUUAUGUUCAAAAGGAAAAAAAAUGGAGAAAACUUGACCGGUAAACUGCCAGGAUUUUCAAGAUGCCGCAAUACCGUAAAUCCCGGGCCCUCCCAGAAAAAAACAGGAUCUCGUGGCC